AUUGAACGCUGGCGGAAUGCUUUACACAUGCAAGCCGAACGGCAGCACGGGGGCAGCCCUGGUGGCGAGUGGCGAACGGGUGAGUAAUACAUCGGAACGUGCCCGGUCGUGGGGGAUAACGUAGCGAAAGUUACGCUAAUACCGCAUACGAUCUGAGGAUGAAAGCGGGGGACCUUCGGGCCUCGCGCGAUCGGAGCGGCCGAUGUCAGAUUAGGUAGUUGGUGGGGUAAAGGCCUACCAAGCCGACGAUCUGUAGCUGGUCUGAGAGGACGACCAGCCACACUGGGACUGAGACACGGCCCAGACUCCUACGGGAGGCAGCAGUGGGGAAUUUUGGACAAUGGGCGCAAGCCUGAUCCAGCCAUUCCGCGUGCAGGACGAAGGCCUUCGGGUUGUAAACUGCUUUUGUACGGAACGAAAAGGCUCUGGCUAAUACCUGGGGCUCAUGACGGUACCGUAAGAAUAAGCACCGGCUAACUACGUG
Molecule: ribosomal RNA, 484 nt
Filed under: uncultured bacterium
Lineage: Bacteria
Description: partial 16S ribosomal RNA
Rfam family: Bacterial small subunit ribosomal RNA
Source: RNAcentral